Molecule: ribosomal RNA, 1903 nt
Filed under: human gut metagenome
Description: bacterial LSU rRNA
Rfam family: Bacterial large subunit ribosomal RNA
Source: RNAcentral
UCAAGCUAUAAAGAGCGUAGGGAGAAUGACUUGGCAUCAGGAGCCGAAGAAGGACGUGACAAGCUGCGAAAAGCUGCGGUUAGGAGCAAAUAUCCAUAGACCCGCAGAUAUCCGAAUGGGGAAACCCGGUACGGCAAUACCGUAUCACUGCAUGGUAAAUACAUAGCCAUGUGGAGGAAACCCUCUGAACUGAAACAUCUAAGUAGGAGGAGGAAGAGAAAGAAACAUCGAUUUCCUAAGUAGCGGCGAGCGAAAGGGAAAGAGGCCAAACCAGAGAUAGCAAUAUCUUUGGGGUUGCGGACUGCAAAAUUGAUUCAAUAUUUUUAGCAGAAGUGUAUGGGAAGACACACCAUAGUAGGUAAUAGUCCUGUAAGCGAAAAGGAUAUUGACAAGGCAGGAUCCAGAGUACCACCGGACACGAGGAACCCGGUGGGAAGCCGGGGGGACCACCCCCCAAGCCUAAAUACUACCUGAUGACCGAUAGUGAAAAGUACAGUGAUGGAAAGUUGAAAAGAACCCCGGAAGGGGAGUGAAAAAGAAUCUGAAACCCUAUGUUUACAAGCUGCUAAAGCACCAUAUGAGUGCGAUAGCGUACUUUUUGUAGAACGGUCCGGCGAGUGUAUGUUGCAAGCGAGGUUAAGGUGUUAAGCACUGAAGCCGAAGGGAGACCGAGUGUGAAUAGCGCGUACAGUUUGCAGUAUACGACCCGAAACCGGGUGACCUAACCAUGGACAGGUUGAAGUGGAAGUAAAAUUCCAUGGAGGACCGAACCCACGUCUGUUGAAAAAGGCGGGGAUGAGCUGUGGUUAGCGGUGAAAUUCCAAUCGAACUCGGAUAUAGCUGGUUCUCAUCGAAAUAGCUUUAGGGCUAGCCUCAGGAUAGUUUAGCGGAGGUAAAGCACUGAAUGGGCUAGGGGGCUUCACGGCUUACCGAACCCUAUCAAACUCUGAAUGCCGCAUAAAUGUUUCCUGGGAGUCAGACUGCGUGAGAUAAGUUUCGUAGUCAAAAGGGAAAGAGCCCAGACCUACAGCUAAGGUCCCUAAAUGAAUUUAAGUGGAAAAGGAUGUGCAGUUGCGUAGACAACUAGGACGUUGGCUUAGAAGCAGCCACUCAUUUAAAGAGUGCGUAAUAGCUCACUAGUCGAGUGAUUGUGCGCCGAAAAUGUAACGGGGCUAAAAUUCAUACCGAAGCUUAGGAAUGAUAGUAAUAUUGUUGGUAGAUGAGCGUUGUGUAAGUCUGCGAAGCUACACCGAAAGGAGUAGUGGAGAUAUCACAAGUGAGAAUGCCGGAAUGAGUAGCGAGAAUUAUGUGAGAAUCAUAAUGGUCGAAAAUCUAAGGUUUCUUGAGGAAGGUUCGUCCGCUCAAGGUAAGCCGGGAGCUAAGGCGAGGCCGAGAGGCGUAGUCGAUGCACAUACGGUAAAGAUUCCGUAGCCACCGAAGUCGUUAAAUACAGGGACACAGGAACAUAGCCUAACCCCACCGUUGGUUGAGUGGGGCGUAAGGGAGCGAAAAUUAGUAGCGAAGUAGGUGAUUGUACACUGGCGAGAAAAGCUGUAUGGAUUGACAAGGUGCCCGUACCGCAAACCGACACAGGUAGAUGAGGAGAGAAUCCUAAGACCAGCGGGAGAAGUGUUGUUAAGGAACUCGGCAAAAUGACCCCGUAACUUCGGGAUAAGGGGAGCCUACGCGAGUAGGCCGCAGAGAAUAGUCUCAAGCGACUGUUUAGCAAAAACACAGGUCUAUGCUAAAUCGAAAGAUGAUGUAUAUGGGCUGACGCCUGCCCGGUGCUGGAAGGUUAAGGGGAAGUGUUAGAGCAAUCGAAGCACUGAACUUAAGCCCCAGUAAACGGCGGCCGUAACUAUAACGGUCCUAAGGUAGCGAAAUUCCUUGUCAGGUAAGUUCU